This is a long non-coding RNA of Oncorhynchus tshawytscha (Chinook salmon), 434 nucleotides long. Lineage: Eukaryota; Metazoa; Chordata; Actinopteri; Salmoniformes; Salmonidae. The record is from Ensembl.
GGGCUGAGAGGUUCUGUAGAGCUGUCUGUCUGGGCUGAGAGGGUCUGUGGAGGUGUCUGUCUGGGCUGAGAGGUUCUGUGGAGCUGUCUGUCUGGGCUGAGAGGUUCUGUGGAGGUGUCUGUCUGGCUGAGAGGUUCUGUGGAGUUGUCUGUCUGGGCUGAGAGGUUCUGUGGAGCUGUGUGUCUGGGCUGAGAGGUUCUGUGGAGCUGUCUGUCUGGGCUGAGAGGUUCUGUAGAGCUGUCUGUCUGGGCUGAGAGGUUCUGUGGAGGUGUCUGUCUGGGCUGAGAGGUUCUGUGGAGCUGUCUGUCUGGGCUGAGAGGUUCUGUGGAGCUGUCUGUCUGGGCUGAGAGGUUCUGUGGAGCUGUCUGUCUGGGCUGAGAGGUUCUGUGGAGUUGUCUGUCUGGGCUGAGAGGUUCUGUGGGGUUGUCUGUCUG